GACGUAGGGCGCGAGCGUUGUUCGGAUUUAUUGGGCGUAAAGAGCUCGUAGGCGGUCUGUCGCGUCUGCUGUGAAAACUCGCGGCUUAACCCCGGGCCUGCAGUGGGUACGGGCAGACUAGAGUGCGGUAGGGGAGACUGGAAUUCCUGGUGUAGCGGUGAAAUGCGCAGAUAUCAGGAGGAACACCGGUGGCGAAGGCGGGUCUCUGGGCCGUAACUGACGCUGAGGAGCGAAAGCGUGGGGAGCGAACAGG
This 253-nucleotide ribosomal RNA is filed under the name uncultured bacterium. RNAcentral describes it as "partial 16S ribosomal RNA". It matches the Rfam family "Bacterial small subunit ribosomal RNA", at positions 524 to 776 of the family's 1533-position model. The record is from RNAcentral.